RNAcentral lists this ribosomal RNA (301 nucleotides) under uncultured bacterium. RNAcentral's name for it is "partial 16S ribosomal RNA". It matches the Rfam family "Bacterial small subunit ribosomal RNA", at positions 509 to 808 of the family's 1533-position model. The record is from RNAcentral.
CAGCCGCCACGGGAAUACGAGGGGGGCAAGCGUUGUUCGGAAUUAUUGGGCGUAAGGGUGCGUAGGCGGUUCAGCAAGUCUCGUGUGAAAUCUUCGGGCUCAACCCGAAGUCUGCACGGGAAACUACUGGGCUUGAGUAAUGGAGAGGUGAGUGGAAUUUCCGGUGUAGCGGUGAAAUGCGUAGAUAUCGGAAGGAACACCUGUGGCGAAAGUGGCUCACUGGACAUUUACUGACGCUGAUGCACGAAAGCUAGGGGAGCAAACAGGAUUAGAUACCCGUGUAGUCCCUGUCUCUUAUACA